Helianthus annuus (common sunflower) is the source of this 282-nucleotide long non-coding RNA. RefSeq lists it as uncharacterized. The record is from RefSeq and is a predicted model, not a curated record. NCBI's taxonomy places the organism in Eukaryota, Viridiplantae, Streptophyta, Magnoliopsida, Asterales, Asteraceae. The transcript has 3 exons.
GGUUCGUACAAAACACAGGGGGCGACCAAGAAACCCCCAUCAAACCCUACUUCAUGUAAAUUGCUCAAAUUGAAGACCAAAUUCAGUUCCAAAUCGAUUUCCAAGCACGAAAUUGUGAUCUCCUCUAAAAAGGGAUCAUAAGGUAAGGAAUCCGGAUCGUCAAGUGGACAAGCCGGCGGAGAUACGCGUUUGAAGAGGGUGCUUUAAAGGUAUGGAUGAGGACCUCUCGGAUGAUGAUCAAGUACAUUGUAAGGAACCGAACACGUAUUUUGAAGCUUCCGC